RNAcentral lists this ribosomal RNA (661 nucleotides) under uncultured Arthrobacter sp. RNAcentral describes it as "bacterial SSU rRNA". It matches the Rfam family "Bacterial small subunit ribosomal RNA", at positions 228 to 903 of the family's 1533-position model. The record is from RNAcentral. Lineage: Bacteria; Bacillati; Actinomycetota; Actinomycetes; Micrococcales; Micrococcaceae.
AUCUCGCGGCCUAUCAGCUUGUUGGUGAGGUAAUGGCUCACCAAGGCGACGACGGGUAGCCGGCCUGAGAGGGUGACCGGCCACACUGGGACUGAGACACGGCCCAGACUCCUACGGGAGGCAGCAGUGGGGAAUAUUGCACAAUGGGCGCAAGCCUGAUGCAGCGACGCCGCGUGAGGGAUGACGGCCUUCGGGUUGUAAACCUCUUUCAGUAGGGAAGAAGCGAAAGUGACGGUACCUGCAGAAGAAGCGCCGGCUAACUACGUGCCAGCAGCCGCGGUAAUACGUAGGGCGCAAGCGUUAUCCGGAAUUAUUGGGCGUAAAGAGCUCGUAGGCGGUUUGUCGCGUCUGCCGUGAAAGUCCGGGGCUCAACUCCGGAUCUGCGGUGGGUACGGGCAGACUAGAGUGAUGUAGGGGAGACUGGAAUUCCUGGUGUAGCGGUGAAAUGCGCAGAUAUCAGGAGGAACACCGAUGGCGAAGGCAGGUCUCUGGGCAUUAACUGACGCUGAGGAGCGAAAGCAUGGGGAGCGAACAGGAUUAGAUACCCUGGUAGUCCAUGCCGUAAACGUUGGGCACUAGGUGUGGGGGACAUUCCACGUUUUCCGCGCCGUAGCUAACGCAUUAAGUGCCCCGCCUGGGGAGUACGGAAGCUUGGAAUUCG